CCCAAGGGUAUGGCUGUUCGCCAUUUAAAGUGGUACGCGAGCUGGGUUUAGAACGUCGUGAGACAGUUCGGUCCCUAUCUGCCGUGGGCGCUGGAGAACUGAGGGGGGCUGCUCCUAGUACGAGAGGACCGGAGUGGACGCAUCACUGGUGUUCGGGUUGUCAUGCCAAUGGCACUGCCCGGUAGCUAAAUGCGGAAGAGAUAAGUGCUGAAAGCAUCUAAGCACGAAACUUGCCCCGAGAUGAGUUCUCCCUGACCCUUUAAGGGUCCUGAAGGAACGUUGAAGACGACGACGUUGAUAGGCCGGGUGUGUAAGCGCAGCGAUGCGUUGAGCUAACCGGUACUAAUGAACCGUGAGGCUUAACCUU
RNAcentral lists this ribosomal RNA (367 nucleotides) under Escherichia coli. Its description in RNAcentral is "partial 23S ribosomal RNA". It matches the Rfam family "Bacterial large subunit ribosomal RNA", at positions 2564 to 2925 of the family's 2925-position model. Lineage: Bacteria; Pseudomonadati; Pseudomonadota; Gammaproteobacteria; Enterobacterales; Enterobacteriaceae. The record is from RNAcentral.